CAUUACCGAGUUUUCAACUCCCAAACCCUUUUGUGAACAUACCUAUCGUUGCUUCGGCGGACUCGCCCCAGCGUCCGGCCGGCCCCGCGCCGGCCGCGGCCUGGAUCCAGGCGGCCGCCGGAGACCCCCAAACUCUGUAUUCUCAGUAUCUUCUGAAUCCGCCGCAAGGCAAAACAAAUGAAUCAAAACUUUCAACAACGGAUCUCUUGGUUCUGGCAUCGAUGAAGAACGCAGCGAAAUGCGAUAAGUAAUGUGAAUUGCAGAAUUCAGUGAAUCAUCGAAUCUUUGAACGCACAUUGCGCCCGCCAGCAUUCUGGCGGGCAUGCCUGUUCGAGCGUCAUUUCAACCCUCGACUUCCCUUUGGGGAAAUCGGCGUUGGGGACCGGCCGUAUACCGCCGGCCCCGAAAUGAAGUGGCGGCCCGUCCGCGGCGACCUCUGCGUAGUAAUCCAACUCGCACCGGAACCCCGACGUGGCCACGCCGUAAAACCCCCGACUUCUGAACGUUGACCUCGGAUCAGGUAGGAAUACCCGCUGAACUUAAGCAUAUCAAUAA
Molecule: ribosomal RNA, 555 nt
Filed under: uncultured fungus
Lineage: Eukaryota; Fungi
Description: eukaryotic LSU rRNA
Rfam family: 5.8S ribosomal RNA (bases 187-340)
Source: RNAcentral